UACCAGCACCCCGAGUGGUCGGGACGUUUAUUGGGCCUAAAGCAUCCGUAGCCGGUUCUGCAAGUCUUCCGUUAAAUCCACCUGCUUAACAGAUGGGCCGCGGAAGAUACUAUAGAGCUAGGAGGCGGGAGAGGCAAGCGGUACUCGAUGGGUAGGGGUAAAAUCCGUUGAUCCAUUGAAGACCACCAGUGGCGAAGGCGGCUUGCCAGAACGCGCUCGACGGUGAGGGAUGAAAGCUGGGGGAGUAAACCGG
This 253-nucleotide ribosomal RNA is filed under the name uncultured bacterium. Its description in RNAcentral is "partial 16S ribosomal RNA". It matches the Rfam family "Archaeal small subunit ribosomal RNA", at positions 474 to 727 of the family's 1478-position model. The record is from RNAcentral.